UGAGGAAUAUUGGACAAUGGCCGGAAGGCUGAUCCAGCCAUGCCGCGUGCGGGAAGACGGCCCUAUGGGUUGUAAACCGCUUUUGCGAGGGAGCAAUAAGGUCCACGAGUGGGUCGAUGAGAGUACCUCGCGAAUAAGCAUCGGCUAACUCCGUGCCAGCAGCCGCGGUAAUACGGAGGAUGCGAGCGUUAUCCGGAUUCAUUGGGUUUAAAGGGUGCGCAGGCGGCCGGGCAAGUCAGCGGUGAAAUUCAGGGGCCCAACCCCGGAAGUGCCGUUGAUACUGCUUGGCUGGAAUGCGGUCGAGGCGGGCGGAAUGUGGUGUGUAGCGGUGAAAUGCAUAGAUAUGCCACAGAACGCCGAUAGCGAAGGCAGCUCGCCAGGCCUGCAUUGACGCUCGGGCACGAAAGCGCGGGGAUCGAACA
This 422-nucleotide ribosomal RNA is filed under the name uncultured bacterium. RNAcentral describes it as "bacterial SSU rRNA". It matches the Rfam family "Bacterial small subunit ribosomal RNA", at positions 355 to 774 of the family's 1533-position model. The record is from RNAcentral.